This 504-nucleotide ribosomal RNA is filed under the name uncultured bacterium. RNAcentral's name for it is "partial 16S ribosomal RNA". It matches the Rfam family "Bacterial small subunit ribosomal RNA", at positions 30 to 523 of the family's 1533-position model. The record is from RNAcentral.
AUUGAACGCUGGCGGCAGGCCUAACACAUGCAAGUCGAACGGUAGCACAGAGAGCUUGCUCUUGGGUGACGAGUGGCGGACGGGUGAGUAAUGUCUGGGAAACUGCCCGAUGGAGGGGGAUAACUACUGGAAACGGUAGCUAAUACCGCAUAACGUCUUCGGACCAAAGUGGGGGACCUUCGGGCCUCACACCAUCGGAUGUGCCCAGAUGGGAUUAGCUAGUAGGUGGGGUAAAGGCUCACCUAGGCGACGAUCCCUAGCUGGUCUGAGAGGAGGACCAGCCACACUGGAACUGAGACACGGUCCAGACUCCUACGGGAGGCAGCAGUGGGGAAUAUUGCACAAUGGGCGCAAGCCUGAUGCAGCCAUGCCGCGUGUAUGAAGAAGGCCUUCGGGUUGUAAAGUACUUUCAGCGGGGAGGAAGGCGUUAAGGUUAAUAACCUUGGCGAUUGACGUUACCCGCAGAAGAAGCACCGGCUAACUCCGUGCCAGCCGCCGCAGUAA